RNAcentral lists this unclassified non-coding RNA (237 nucleotides) under plant metagenome. RNAcentral describes it as "partial contains small subunit ribosomal RNA, internal transcribed spacer 1, and 5.8S ribosomal RNA". The record is from RNAcentral.
UUUCCGUAGGUGAACCAGCGGAGGGAUCAUUACCGAGUUUACAACUCCCAAACCCCAUGUGAACCUUACCAAACGUUGCUUCGGCGGGAGGCCGCGGGCGCGUGCCACAAGUCCUCAGCCCCGGAACCAGGCGACCGCCGGCGGCCCAAACCGAACUCUUGUUUUUGUAGAAUCUUCUGAGUGGCCUUUUAGGCAAAAAAUGAAUCAAAACUUUCAACAACGGAUCUCUUGGUUCUG